GUCAAAGGGAAGGAAUGACAAUUACUGAAUAAACCAACCAAUGUUAUUAAGAUAUAUAACAUCAGUUAUUGGAGCCUAAUUUUUCUUAAGCAAUGUUUUUGUCAUUGAUGUCUAAAGCACAUCCUGAUGUGCACAAUACUAGAAUAAUAAUAUAAUAAAUUUCCAAGUUAUAAAUUACCAAAAGAUAUAUUGCUUCAAUGUAGUUUCUACUAAAAUCAAAACCAACUAAUAUCGCUUUUACAUGAAGUUUCAAUGUAGCUGAAAGUCUCAAGUCACACUUCAUUAAUUUCAUCCUCAAAAUAAGUUGCAUUGUGUGUCUUUGCAGCCCCCUGAAAAGUGCAACACAAGAUAAAAUCACAAUUUAAACAAAUGAGAAUCGAUGUACAAGAACCAAAUACAGGAGGCUCUCCUAUUAAAAUAUUCCUUAUAGGAACAAAUGGAUAAUGAUCUGACCUUUGUCGCACAGCAUGUUGCAACUUAGAACGGAGAGAUCAAGCUAAACAUAGAGUUGUGCCUCCGAUAACAAACUAGAAACUCCUGGUUUGCUUCCUAUCCCACCUGAGCAACAUAGAAAAGUGUUUAUCAUGACUAGAUUACCGAUUUUUCACAAAAAUUAUCUUGAAUAAUUAAGAGUAUCACACCUUAGCAAUAAAAUUUAACAUAGAAGGGCACAGUUCUUGAAGUCUAUAGUCCAACAAGAAGGGCAUAGUUCUGCAUAAACAAAGUAGAUAAUUUAACUUGCAGUAUAAAUAUUACAAGUUAGUAAAAUGAAUAAAGAAGGCAAAUAUAUAAUCUCUAAUUGUCUGAUAGACUCAUUUGUAUUAGUAUAAAUAUGGUCAUUUAGUUCUUACACUAAUUUCAAGUGCAAUAUCCUAACAUCUCCUAUUAAUACAACAUAAUUGUCAUCUUCAAAACAUCAAAAUCUGUUUUGCAUCUCUCUGUCUAUACAUACUACAACAGAAUAUUCAAGCACAAAGGAAGUAGCAGGGAAGGACAACCAUGGAGUUGUGAGGAUUAAGCUAAAGAAACACAUAUGUGUAUCUGCAUACAUGGUUGCCUCCUAGUUUCCAUUCCCUAUUUUGUUACUGAAUGUCUAUGACAAGUUGAAAAAAUGCUAAUUCAGAGAUAAUAAUUACAAAAGAAUCAAAACCCAAAGCUACAAACUCCAAUUAAAAACUACUUGAACUCCAAGAUCCAAUUCCGAUCCAGACGCACUUGACCCACUUAUAUCCAUUAAACCCUAUCGAAAAAAAUGAUCCACCUGAGAAAACUAACAAAAUAAUCCAAAAUAAAAAGAAUGGAUUUAUUGAAUUCUUAGACACACAUAUUUGACCCAGAGAAACAAAGUUAUUCAGUUUUAGGUACACCAAAAAAACUACCUGUAUAUAACUCUCUUUGCUUUCUGAAACUUAAACAAGAAGAUCUGCAUAUCUACAAAAAUAAAUAAAAAUAUUUCUAAUUUGUGUUGGCAUGUAUAUCAUCAAGAAAUACUAUCAAUAGAUAUAAUUUUAUAACUUGAAUUAUAAACUACAAUCGAAACAAUUAAAGAAACUAAAUCAAUUGAAGAAACUAAGAAUAUACACCUUCAAGAUGGAGACCGAGAAAUGAAGCUGUGACCGGAAACCCCAAACCCCAAUUGAACAAAUUGAAAACCAGAAAUUCAAUCGAACCAAUCGAGCUGCGAAUUGAAGCUGCCUUUCUUACUUCGGAGGUGUAUUUCUCCAAGAUGGGUCUUCAAUUAAAAUGGAGUCUUUAAAAGCGGCUGCUUUUACUCCUUCGAUUCGAUCGACGUACGGUGAGAUAGUGAGAUAGAGAGAGAUUAAAGAGGGAGAUGGUUAGAGAUGGAGAGAUGAAAGAGGGAUAUGGUGGGAGGUAGGGCAGCGGGGAGAGAGAGUUAGAGAGAUCAUCGAGAGAGGGGAGGCAGAGUGAGAGAAUGCCAGAGAGAAAUAGAAAAGGGG
This 1958-nucleotide long non-coding RNA is filed under the name Daucus carota (carrot). RNAcentral describes it as "long non-coding RNA (DCAR_LNC002727)". Lineage: Eukaryota; Viridiplantae; Streptophyta; Magnoliopsida; Apiales; Apiaceae. The record is from RNAcentral.